This 1086-nucleotide long non-coding RNA is filed under the name Equus caballus (horse). RNAcentral's name for it is "lncRNA (ENSECAG00000048061.1)". The record is from RNAcentral. Lineage: Eukaryota; Metazoa; Chordata; Mammalia; Perissodactyla; Equidae.
AACAAACACUAGCAAAUUCUCCUUUGUAGUUUAUAUUCCUAUGGUCAACUAGUAAAGUCCUUGAAGAUGGUUUGGGUCUUGGGCAGGUUAAACAAGCCCCUAGAAUCUCACUCAUGCUAAUCUCUACUUUAGAGCAUCCACCUAAGGCCCUGUGAGCAUCUUCUGUGUGCCAGGCGCUGUGCUCCUGGUAAGGGAGAUGCACGGUUGAAAGAGACAUGGGUCUGCACUCUCAGAAAGUCUCCAGGCAUAUGUGGAGAUGAUCUGUAUGUCCCUUCCUAUGUCCAAAAGCUGGCUGAGCAAAGAGCCUGCUGGGGAGGCCCAGGGCAAGUGCUAUGGCCCAUAGUAAGAGGGGAGCAGAAUGAAGGAGCUUUUGGGGGAGGCAGCCUCUGAGCAGGACCAAGAGGAAUGGGUGGGAUUAGGAUGGGGAGAUGGACAUUCUCAGAACAAGGAACAACCUGUGCAAAGGCCACAUGGAAAGCGCUCAGGAAAAGCUGAAUGUUGCGAGGCUGAGGGUUGAGCACAGAAGGACAGAGGAAGCAGGAAGGAAAGAACAAGCAAGAAAACUGAAGAAGAGGGUUAGGAGCAGAUUAUGGGCCCUUCUGUGAGGGGCUCUGUGGACUGGACGUUACACACACCCAGCCCACCUUGUUCAUCUGCAGUAUCCUCCUGGGCCCCCUUGGCAUCUUAGUUUACGAUUCCUGAACUAAUCCAAUCCACCACCUUACAGAAAUAGAGAAACUGAGGCCCAGGGAGGAACAGGGGCCUGCCCCCAUCACCAGUGACGCAGCAGAGCUAGGACGGCCUGGGCAGGCCCCUGCCUCUCACUGUUCCCCAUUGCCUGGCUGUGUGUGCGUCAGACGCUGAGAAGGAGGUGGCACCAGCAAGGCAAGGACUCCCAGGGUCAAGUCUAGACACCAUUCCUGGGCCCUUGGAGAUGUGCCAGCAAGAAGAGUGGGCAGUGUUGACCCUGGUGGGAAGUUGGCUCUGGAACUGACCUGGUGGCCAGACUCUUGUCUGGGGCUAUCUGCUCCAACAGGCAUGGAAAUUCUUAUCAUUCCAAGGCCCCCUCUUCACAACCUGUCUGGG